This 256-nucleotide ribosomal RNA is filed under the name uncultured bacterium. RNAcentral describes it as "partial 16S ribosomal RNA". It matches the Rfam family "Bacterial small subunit ribosomal RNA", at positions 793 to 1055 of the family's 1533-position model. The record is from RNAcentral.
GUCCACGCCGUAACGAUGAAUACUAGGUGUUGGAGCAAGCUUUCGGUGCCGCAGCAACGCAAUAAGUAUUCCACCUGGGAGUACGUUCGCAAGAAUGAACUCAAGGAAUUGACGGGACCCGCACAAGCGGUGGAGCAUGUGGUUAAUUCGAAGCAACGCGAAGAACCUUUACCAAAUCUUGACAUCGAUCUGACCGGACUGUAAUGAGUCCCUUUCCCUUCGGGGACAGAGAAGACAGGUGGUGCAUGGUUGUCGU